This 249-nucleotide long non-coding RNA is filed under the name Physcomitrium patens. RNAcentral describes it as "long non-coding RNA (PPAT_LNC013759)". The record is from RNAcentral. Lineage: Eukaryota; Viridiplantae; Streptophyta; Bryopsida; Funariales; Funariaceae.
GAUCUAUGCGUGAAAUUUUGUGGAUUUAUGGUUAUAGUUGUGUUUAAUAUGUGUCGUGAAUUUGAGCUUGAUCUAACGGUUGAAUUGAGGAAUAUUGAGGUUUAAUUAGGUCAAGGUCUUAGAAAGUAGAAUUUUAGGUCUAGUAGGGGUUUUUGAGAUUUCUUGCAAUCUAUUGGUUGGAUUGGAGUGAAACUUAUGUGAGAGGAUAUUAGACUUGUUUUACUAUGCAUAUGAGAAUUUUGAAAUCAA